AUUGAACGCUGGCGGCAUGCCUAACACAUGCAAGUCGAGCGAGAGGCGGACGGGUGAGUAAUGUCUGGGAAACUGCCUGAUGGAGGGGGAUAACUACUGGAAACGGUAGCUAAUACCGCAUACCAUCAGAUGUGCCCAGAUGGGUAUAGCUAGUAGGUGGGGUAACGGCUCACCUAGGCGACGACCCCUAGCUGGUCUGAGAGGAUGACCAGCCACACUGGAACUGAGACACGGUCCAGACUCCGACGGGAGGCAGCAGUGGCGAAUAUUGCACAAUGGACGAAAGCCUGAUGAAGCACAGCCGCGUGUGUGAAGAAGGCCUUCGGCUUGUAAAGCACUUUCAGCGGGGAGGCGUUACCCGCAGAAGAAGCACCGGCUAACUCCGUGCCAGCAGCCGCGGUAAUUC
Molecule: ribosomal RNA, 406 nt
Filed under: uncultured bacterium
Lineage: Bacteria
Description: partial 16S ribosomal RNA
Rfam family: Bacterial small subunit ribosomal RNA
Source: RNAcentral